RNAcentral lists this long non-coding RNA (306 nucleotides) under Capsicum annuum. RNAcentral describes it as "long non-coding RNA (CANN_LNC010911)". Lineage: Eukaryota; Viridiplantae; Streptophyta; Magnoliopsida; Solanales; Solanaceae. The record is from RNAcentral.
UUUACCUAUCCAAUUCGACCUAUCAUGAUACUAUCACAUCAACGAUAUUCAAUGAAUCAAAAUAAAUUAACGCUUACUUUUUAUCAAUUUCAAUUCCACCUCCCACUAAUUUCAUUUUUUAUCAAUCAAACCUUCAACAUUACUCCGAUUCAUCCCACAUAUCAACAAAAUCAAAUCGUCAAACACAUAAUUAUAACAUCAUAACACCAACAAAAAUCCAAACUAUCAACACACAUAAUCACAACCAAUCCAAAUAAUCAAAAUAAAGAACAGGGAGACGGGUUAAAGAAAUGGACCUUCCGAUAA